GCUGAUUGUCUCCUCUCAGCCUCAGGGGCUAGGAGCAAAAGGCACUCCCAGGGACAUCUAGGUUUUGGGAGCUGGGGAGACACUCUUGUCUUUUCUCCCACCCUGAAAAUGGAGCCAGUUAUCUGUGAAAGUCACCUGUCUGAACCUACGGAGGCAUUGUCAAUUUAUUCACAGUUUAGCUGCAUUGAAGUAUUAUUCACAAGGAAGUGCAAAAAAAUCCAUAGCAUCUCAGCAAGCAGCGUGAAGAACAAUUAUAGAAAAGACGAUGGAAGAUGUCACAAUCUUGUAUACAUAUUUAUCAACAUCAUUACCAUCAUUGUCAUUUUUAUUUUUUAUUUUUUUAUAAAAUGUUCAAACAUU
Suricata suricatta (meerkat) is the source of this 360-nucleotide long non-coding RNA. RefSeq lists it as uncharacterized. The transcript is spliced from 2 exons. Lineage: Eukaryota; Metazoa; Chordata; Mammalia; Carnivora; Herpestidae. The record is from RefSeq and is a predicted model, not a curated record.